GACGAACGCUGGCGGCGUGCUUAACACAUGCAAGUCGAACGGAAAGGCCCUGCUUUUGUGGGGUGCUCGAGUGGCGAACGGGUGAGUAACACGUGAGUAACCUGCCCUUGACUUUGGGAUAACUUCAGGAAACUGGGGCUAAUACCGGAUAGGAGCUCCUGCUGCAUGGUGGGGGUUGGAAAGUUUCGGCGGUUGGGGAUGGACUCGCGGCUUAUCAGCUUGUUGGUGGGGUAGUGGCUUACCAAGGCUUUGACGGGUAGCCGGCCUGAGAGGGUGACCGGCGACAUUGGGACUGAGAUACGGCGCAGACUCCUACGGGAGGCAACGGUGGGGAAUAUUGCACAAUGGGCGGAAGCCUGAUGCAGCAACGCCGCGUGCGGGAUGACGGCCUUCGGGUUGUAAACCGCUUUCGCCUGUGACGAAGCGUGAGUGACGGUAAUGGGUAAAGAAGCACCGGCUAACUACGUG
This 468-nucleotide ribosomal RNA is filed under the name uncultured bacterium. RNAcentral describes it as "partial 16S ribosomal RNA". It matches the Rfam family "Bacterial small subunit ribosomal RNA", at positions 28 to 507 of the family's 1533-position model. The record is from RNAcentral.